RNAcentral lists this ribosomal RNA (245 nucleotides) under uncultured Actinomycetales bacterium. RNAcentral describes it as "partial 16S ribosomal RNA". It matches the Rfam family "Bacterial small subunit ribosomal RNA", at positions 88 to 334 of the family's 1533-position model. Lineage: Bacteria; Bacillati; Actinomycetota; Actinomycetes; Actinomycetales. The record is from RNAcentral.
UGCUCGAGUGGCGAACGGGUGAGUAACACGUGAGUAACCUGCCCUUGACUUUGGGAUAGCUUCAGGAAACUGGGGCUAAUACCGGAUAGGAGCUCCUGCUGCAUGGUGGGGGUUGGAAAGUUUCGGCGGUUGGGGAUGGACUCGCGGCUUAUCAGCUUGUUGGUGGGGUAGUGGCUUACCAAGGCUUUGACGGGUAGCCGGCCUGAGAGGGUGACCGGCCACAUUGGGACUGAGAUACGGCCCAG